RNAcentral lists this transfer RNA (77 nucleotides) under Bacillota bacterium. RNAcentral describes it as "tRNA-Met". It matches the Rfam family "tRNA". Rfam says of the family: Transfer RNA (tRNA) molecules are approximately 80 nucleotides in length. The record is from RNAcentral. RNAcentral also lists the same sequence under 1 other name. Lineage: Bacteria; Bacillati; Bacillota.
GGCGGCGUAGCUCAGCUGGUUAGAGCAUACGGUUCAUACCCGUAACGUCGGUGGUUCGAGUCCACCCGCCGCUACCA